CACUUGAUGAGUGAUUCUUUGCUAACAGCC
RNAcentral lists this non-coding RNA (30 nucleotides) under Mus musculus (house mouse). The record is from RNAcentral. Lineage: Eukaryota; Metazoa; Chordata; Mammalia; Rodentia; Muridae.